UUACCUAGGUUUGACAUCCGGAAGACCUUCCCGAAAAGGAAGGGUGCCCUUCGGGGAAUUCCGAGACAGGUGCUGCAUGGCUGUCGUCAGCUCGUGCCGUGAGGUGUUCGGGUUAAGUCCCGCAACGAGCGCAACCCCUAUUGCCAGUUGCUACCAGGUAAUGCUGGGCACUCUGGUGAGACUGCCCCGGUUAACGGGGAGGAAGGUGGGGACGACGUCAAGUCAUCAUGGCCCUUACGGCCUGGGCUACACACGUGCUACAAUGGUCGGUACAAAGGGUUGCCAAGCCGCGAGGUGGAGCUAAUCCCAUAAAACCGAUCGUAGUCCGGAUCGCAGUCUGCAACUCGACUGCGUGAAGUCGGAAUCGCUAGUAAUCGUGAAUCAGAAUGUCACGGUGAAUACGUUCCCGGGCCUU
Molecule: ribosomal RNA, 415 nt
Filed under: uncultured Pseudomonas sp.
Lineage: Bacteria; Pseudomonadati; Pseudomonadota; Gammaproteobacteria; Pseudomonadales; Pseudomonadaceae
Description: bacterial SSU rRNA
Rfam family: Bacterial small subunit ribosomal RNA
Source: RNAcentral